AUUGAACGCUGGCGGCAUGCUUUACACAUGCAAGUCGAACGGUAACAGGUUAAGCUGACGAGUGGCGAACGGGUGAGUAAUGCAUCGGAACGUGCCCGAUCGUGGGGGAUAACGCAGCGAAAGCUGCGCUAAUACCGCAUACGAUCUGAGGAUGAAAGCGGGGGACCGUAAGGCCUCGCGCGAUCGGAGCGGCCGAUGUCAGAUUAGGUAGUUGGUGGGGUAAAGGCCCACCAAGCCGACGAUCUGUAGCUGGUCUGAGAGGACGACCAGCCACACUGGGACUGAGACACGGCCCAGACUCCUACGGGAGGCAGCAGUGGGGAAUUUUGGACAAUGGGCGAAAGCCUGAUCCAGCCAUUCCGCGUGAGUGAAGAAGGCCUUCGGGUUGUAAAGCUCUUUCGCAAGGGAAGAAAACUUAAGCUCUAACAUAGCUUGAGGUUGACGGUACCUUGAUAAGAAGCACCGGCUAACUACGUGCCAGCCGCCGCCGUAA
Molecule: ribosomal RNA, 493 nt
Filed under: uncultured bacterium
Lineage: Bacteria
Description: partial 16S ribosomal RNA
Rfam family: Bacterial small subunit ribosomal RNA
Source: RNAcentral